GAAGGAGAAGCAGCAUGGAGGGUGAGAAAGGAAGGAAAGAGAGAGUUUGCGUGACUGGGGCAGGAGGGUAUAUCGCCUCAUGGCUUGUGAAGCUUCUCCUCUCUAGGGGCUACAUGGUGCACGGAACCGUCAGAGACCCAAAUGAUGAAAAGAAUUCCCAUUUGAAGAAGUUGGAGAAGGCCCAAGAAAAUCUACAACUAUUCGAAGCAGAUUUGCUUGACUACAAUUCUAUAGCUUCAGCUGUUGCAGGAUGUGAAGGAGUCUUCCAUGUUGCUAGUCCUGUUCCUUCCAGAAAAGUGACCAAUCCAGAGGUUGAACUAUACACCCCAGCUGUAACGGGCACCCUUAAUGUACUGGAGGCGUGUUUCCAGGCAAAAGUCAAACGAGUGGUUGUAGUGUCUUCUGUUGUUGCUGUUAUGAUGAAUCCCAAUUGGCCGAAGGAUAAAACCAUGGAUGAGUAUUGCUGGUCGGACAAUGAUUACUGCAAAACAACAGAGGAAUGGUACUGCAUUUCCAAGACACUUGCAGAGCGCGAGGUUGUAGACUACGGGAAGAAACAUGGGCUGGAUGUCAUAACUAUAUGCCCUUCCCUUGUCAUUGGACCAUUGCUUCAAUCCACUCUGAAUUUUAGCAGCUUACUUCUCUUAUACCUGUUUAAAGGGAACGAAUCUGCAACGACUACGACCUGGAACUGUGUUGAUGUUCGAGAUUUAUCUGAUGCACUACUUCUGAUAUAUGAGAAGCCAGAAGCAUCAGGUCGAUACAUUUGUGCACCUCAUUCGAACAGUCUGCAUGACCUUGUUGACAUUUUAAAGCGCAACUAUCCCAACUAUGUCUAUGCUACAGAAUACAUUGAAAGAGUAGGAAGAAGUAUAAUGAGUGCAGAGAAACUGAAGG
This 897-nucleotide unclassified non-coding RNA is filed under the name Hevea brasiliensis (rubber tree). Lineage: Eukaryota; Viridiplantae; Streptophyta; Magnoliopsida; Malpighiales; Euphorbiaceae. The record is from RNAcentral.